Molecule: ribosomal RNA, 624 nt
Filed under: Chimerella mariaelenae
Lineage: Eukaryota; Metazoa; Chordata; Amphibia; Anura; Centrolenidae
Description: partial small subunit ribosomal RNA
Rfam family: Bacterial small subunit ribosomal RNA (bases 1-463)
Source: RNAcentral
GGGAACUACGAGCAAAGCUUAAAACCCAAAGGACUUGACGGUACCCCAUAUCCACCUAGAGGAGCCUGUCCUAUAAUCGAUACCCCACGCUAAACCUCACCACCUCUCGCCUAAUCAGCCUGUAUACCUCCGUCGUCAGCUUACCACGUGAGCGCAAUUCAGUGAGCUUAAUGCCCAUACGCCAAUACGUCAGGUCAAGGUGCAGCAAAUGAGGUGGGAAGAGAUGGGCUACACUCUCUAAUAUAGAAAACACAGAAGACUACCUAUGAAAUCUAGUCUAAAGGCGGAUUUAGAAGUAAAAAGGAAAAAGAAUGCCCUUUUUAACUCGGCACUGGGGCGUGUACACACCGCCCGUCACCCUCUUCAAAGCCAUCAAAAAGUAAAUAACCAACUUAUGCAACACAGAAGAGGCAAGUCGUAACAUGGUAAGUAUACCGGAAGGUGUGCUUGGAAACGAAGUGUAGCUUAAAUAAAGCAUUUCGCUUACACCGAAAAAAUAUCUGUUAAACCCGGAUUACUUCGAGCUAAAAAUUUAGCCCCAACCACCCAAAUGCCACACAAAAAUCCCACCACACCAACUAAAACAUUCUUACAUUUUAGUAAAGGCGAUUGAAAAACUACUUG